Molecule: ribosomal RNA, 310 nt
Filed under: uncultured bacterium
Lineage: Bacteria
Description: partial 16S ribosomal RNA
Rfam family: Bacterial small subunit ribosomal RNA
Source: RNAcentral
GACGAACGCUGGCGGCGUGCCUAAUACAUGCAAGUCGAACGCAGUGGGGACGGGUGAGUAACACGUGGGUAACCUCCCAUCAGAGGGGAUAACACUUGGAAACAGGUGCUAAACCGAUACUGAUGGAUGACCCCGCGGUGCAUUAGCUAGUUGGUGAGGUAACGGCUCACCAAGGCCACGAUGCAUAGCGGACCUGGGAGGGUGAUCGGCCAUAGUGGGACUGAGACACGGCCCAGACUCAUACGGGAGGCAGCAGUAGGGAAUCGUCGGCAAUGGACGGAAGUCUGCCCGAGCAACGCCGCGGUAAUAC